GUGGGUAUGGUUUUUUUUUUCCUCCUUUCUUUUAGGAAUAAAAUCUCUUUACCUGGUUGUUUGGAGAUGUGUUUAUACAGUCGUUAAUGAUUCAGUUAUAAUCGCUAGAAUUUACUCUAUGUUCUUUUUGGGUUUGGGUAUCUGUUUUCUCAUUGGUCAUGUUUAUUCCUUGUGUACCUCUACGUUUUUAUUGGCUAUUUUAAUUCUCAUAGCUUUUCAUCUAUUGUUCUUUCUACAGAGGUCAACUUGAGCUUUUCAC
Molecule: unclassified non-coding RNA, 259 nt
Filed under: Hevea brasiliensis (rubber tree)
Lineage: Eukaryota; Viridiplantae; Streptophyta; Magnoliopsida; Malpighiales; Euphorbiaceae
Source: RNAcentral